GACGAACGCUGGCGGCGUGCUUAACACAUGCCAGUCGAACGGAAAGGCCCUGCUUGCAGGGUACUCGAGUGGCGAACGGGUGAGUAACACGUGGGUGAUCUGCCCUGCACUUCGGGAUAAGCCUGGGAAACUGGGUCUAAUACCGGAUAGGAGCCAUUUUUAGUGUGAUGGUUGGAAAGUUUUUUCGGUGUAGGAUGAGCUCGCGGCCUAUCAGCUUGUUGGUGGGGUAAUGGCCUACCAAGGCGGCGACGGGUAGCCGGCCUGAGAGGGUGGACGGCCACAUUGGGACUGAGAUACGGCCCAGACUCCUACGGGAGGCAGCAGUGGGGAAUAUUGCACAAUGGGCGCAAGCCUGAUGCAGCGACGCCGCGUGGGGGAUGACGGCCUUCGGGUUGUAAACUCCUUUCGCUAGGGACGAAGCUUUUUGUGACGGUACCUAGAUAAGAAGCACCGGCUAACUACGU
Molecule: ribosomal RNA, 464 nt
Filed under: uncultured bacterium
Lineage: Bacteria
Description: partial 16S ribosomal RNA
Rfam family: Bacterial small subunit ribosomal RNA
Source: RNAcentral